Long non-coding RNA from Eleginops maclovinus (Patagonian blennie), 2644 nucleotides. RefSeq lists it as uncharacterized. NCBI's taxonomy places the organism in Eukaryota, Metazoa, Chordata, Actinopteri, Perciformes, Eleginopidae. The transcript has 4 exons. The record is from RefSeq and is a predicted model, not a curated record.
ACUGAAGUAAUCUACAGUUAUAAAUGAAAAGACGUCGAACCCAAGGUUAGCAAUCUCAUGCAAAAACAUCCACGUUUGUUAAACACAAACAGCCUUAGAGAACGCACCGUUUACAGGAAUUAUUAUGUUUAGCAUCUGGUUAGCUACAUGCACUAACAAAUAUCAGAAACUUUUUUUAUAACAAGGUGGAGGAGUGUCCUCUCCUGUCAGAGAGGCUGAGAUAACCUCAGCUGUUAGUCUAAGUUAUCUCAGUGGCUCUCAAACGGUUUGGUCAGGGCACACACCUUUAUAUUUAUUUUAUAUAUAUUUAUAUUAUUAUACUUAUAUCAAAAAAAAAAACAGAAUAAAUAAAAACUGGUAUGAAAGUUAAAAAAAAAUACAGUUUAAAAAGGGCAGUGAUUAAUAAAAUAUGCAUAAAUAACCCAUUCACAACAAGAAAUAUAAAAUAAAAAUAAACAAGUUCAGAUUAUUUGUUAUUGGCUAUGUUAUUGAUUAUUGAAAUAUAUACAUACAUUUUUCAUAUGGGUGUUGAGAGAUGUAUCCAUAGAUUUAGUCCCUAAUUUGGAACUCAAAGUGCACCACAUUUCCAAAAAAAACUUCCAAGAUUUAACUUAAUUAUAUUUGACUAAUAUUAUAGAAUACUCAUGCUUUCAGAACGCUGGCCUGCUGUGAUUGGUCUAUAUGCAGCUAACUCCUCCCCUUUCAUUGGAACACGCUUUUAGCCAUACUGAGAAACCCUGGGUCGAUUUAGCAGGAUGGCAUUUGAGAGUGCUUCAUAUUUCACAUAUGAAGAGUGAACUAUAAUAUUCUCUCUAAAAGUUAAACCAUAAACAUCCAUGAUUUGAAGACAUUACUCAAUAUAACAGCAGCACAGUGGCAGUUGCCAAUUGCCACUGCUUGCAAAAAAAUGUCAAUGCGUAAAUUAACAGAUUUUCAUUAUAUCAGUGUGGGCCAUUCCAGGAUAAUAAAGUAUACUUAGUGAUAUGUAUUUAUUGUCCUAUUUGUAACCGCGGCCGUGCACACGGCCUAAAGUUAGCUGUCCUGCUGAUCAAAUUUGCCCUUUUUCUCAAAUCUAUCAAACAACAAAACUCCUCAGAUUCAAUUAGAAACAAGAUACAGUUGGCAGUCAACAAAAAGGAUGAAGACAAGGAUUUACUCCCAAGAAUAUGAUAUUUAUUUAUAAAUAUCAGACACAUUUAAUACAUUACAAACAGUACAUCAACCAGUAAAAACAAUAAUUUAUUAGUAAUUCAUCAACAAGAGUAUUAUUUGAUAUGGUAUCCAGCCUAGAAAAACAGACUAAACGAGCGUAGACAAUUACUGUUGAGAGUGGACACACACACACACACACACACACACACACACACACACACACACACACACACACACACACACACACACACACACACACACACACACACACACACACACACACACACACACACACACACAGCAGUGAAGUGCACGUGCGACAUUCACAGCAAAAAAAUCGGAACUCCACACUUUUCCUUGAACCACAACAAAUAUUAGAUACAGUGAGUGUGUGCAUGUGUGUGUUAAUAUGCAAAGGAAGGGACAGUGUAUGGCAUCAUGACAGGGUAGGGCAGUGAUUGGUAUAGUGCAUAAUAAGGUGUGUAAUGUGCCAUGGGGACUGUGGGCAUCCCCCAUGGUGGCAGUGUUUGUGCCCCACAAAGUCCAACAGUGUUCACAGACCCCUGAGACUGGUAGGAUGGCUGACCCAGGGAUUCAUAUGUCAAUGUCUUUGGAGGUCUCCUGUCCCGUACUGGUCGCCUGGCUGAUUCACACAGAGGGGUGGUAGAUCUAUCAGUCAAUGUCACAUCUGGCUGGACCAUUCUGAUGUUGAUUCUCAGUGUCCUGUGCAUGGUCACUUCCUGCUGUUUGUUCAUACUCAUUGUCAUUUAUCUGUUGAAAUUCCUGUUGACUGGAUUGGUCCUGCUCCAUCAGUACAUGUUCCUCUGGUGUGAUCCUCAGCUGUCGUAAUGCUUCUCCUGUCGGUGUGAUCAACCGUGCUUGUUCAUGUGAGGAUGGAGAAGUCACAGUGUGUCUCUGGGGCACAUAGGGAAGCGUGGCAUACUCACAGGUAAGUCAUUUACCAUGUGGAGAAGAUUUCUGUGAAGAGUACGUAUUUUAUUGCCACCUGUCUCGGGACACACUUUGUAAAUGGGGCUCUCAUUUACCUGUUCUUUAACCACAUACACUUUUUGUUCCCAAUAGGACCUCAGCUUUCCCGGCCCUCCUCUCUCACUCAGAUUACGAACCAGUACUCUGUCACCGGGCUGCAGGACCACUCCCCUCACAUGACGGUCAUAUUGUCUCUUCCCUCGUGCGCUGGACUGCUGGCUGUUCUGAGCUGCUAUUCGGCCAAAGAGCAGAUCUACUGGGAGGCAAGGAUGGCGCCCAAACAUGAGGUAGUGGGGUGAGAAACCUGUGACCUCAUGUCUGGUGCAAUUGUAUGCAUGCACAACCUGUGGGUUUCCCUGUGGAUGGUACGGAGUCGUUCUGGAGUGGCUCACUCAGCCAGCUUCUGCAGGGUCGUGAACAGGGCCUUUUUCGAAUUCCCGGCCUUGAUCGUGGUGCAGCCUGCCCGGGAACCCAAACCGAGGAAUAAAGUCAUUGAAUAUUU